UGGGGAAUAUUGGGCAAUGGGCGAAAGCCUGACCCAGCAACGCCGCGUGAAGGAAGAAGGCCUUCGGGUUGUAAACUUCUUUUAUGAGGGACGAAGGAAGUGACGGUACCUCAUGAAUAAGCCACGGCUAACUACGUGCCAGCAGCCGCGGUACUACGUAGUGGGCAAGCGUUAUCCGGAUUUACUGGGUGUAAAGGGCGCGUAGGCGGGAAAGCAAGUCAGAUGUGAAAUCCAUGGGCUCAACUCAUGAACUGCAUUUGAAACUGUUUUUUUUGAGAGACGGAGAGGUAGAUGGAAUUCCUAGUGUAGCGGUGAAAUGCGUAGAUAUUAGGAGGAACACCAGUGGCGAAGGCGAUCUACUGGACGAUAACUGACGCUGAGGCGCGAAAGCGUGGGGAGAAAACAGGAUU
This 410-nucleotide ribosomal RNA is filed under the name uncultured bacterium. Its description in RNAcentral is "bacterial SSU rRNA". It matches the Rfam family "Bacterial small subunit ribosomal RNA", at positions 355 to 779 of the family's 1533-position model. The record is from RNAcentral.